Molecule: microRNA precursor, 100 nt
Filed under: Pelobates cultripes (western spadefoot toad)
Lineage: Eukaryota; Metazoa; Chordata; Amphibia; Anura; Pelobatidae
Source: RNAcentral
CAUGUCUAUCAUGCUCCCUUGUGGUUCCCACAAUUCCCAGCACAGCAUACCGCAUACUGUGAUGGGAAUUGUGGGAACUGCAAGGGAGCAUGGUAGAGAG